This 266-nucleotide signal recognition particle RNA is filed under the name Saimiri boliviensis boliviensis (Bolivian squirrel monkey). RNAcentral describes it as "Metazoan signal recognition particle RNA (ENSSBOG00000000990.1)". It matches the Rfam family "Metazoan signal recognition particle RNA", at positions 1 to 262 of the family's 299-position model. Rfam says of the family: The signal recognition particle (SRP) is a universally conserved ribonucleoprotein. It is involved in the co-translational targeting of proteins to membranes. Lineage: Eukaryota; Metazoa; Chordata; Mammalia; Primates; Cebidae. The record is from RNAcentral.
GCUAGGUGCAGUGGCAUGUGCCUGUAGUCCCAGCUACUCGGGAGCCUGAGGUGGGAGGAUCACUUGAGUCCAGGAGUUCUGGGCUGUAGUGUUCUAUGCCGACCAGGUGUCCGCACUAAGUUUGGCAUCAAUAUGGUGACCUCCCGGGAGCGCGGGAUCACCAGGUUGCCUAAGGGAUCACCAGGUGAGCCAGCCCAGGUCAGAAACAGAGCAGGUCAAAACUCCCGGCCGGGCGCGGUGGCUCAAGCCUGUAAUCCCAGCACUUU